RNAcentral lists this unclassified non-coding RNA (253 nucleotides) under Hevea brasiliensis (rubber tree). The record is from RNAcentral. Lineage: Eukaryota; Viridiplantae; Streptophyta; Magnoliopsida; Malpighiales; Euphorbiaceae.
GCACAAGUGACACUGGAAAGGCUUAAACCCUAAAAGAUCCUUCUUGCUUUUUAACAUGGACCACAUAACUAAUAUAAACUCUGAUAUUGAUACCUCAAAAUGGAAUAACUAGCCAGAGAAGAAGUGUUUGUCAUGCUUUGUUUUCCACAUUUAGACAGACAUAUAUCCUUCAGAAAGAGGAAUAUUUGAAGAGAAUAAGCUAUAAAGUGUCGUAAAAGGUUUGAGAACAGCUCCCUCUUUUUCCAAGAAUUCA